Molecule: ribosomal RNA, 425 nt
Filed under: bacterium enrichment culture clone ALO1_GLFRUDD03FUU3K
Lineage: Bacteria
Description: bacterial SSU rRNA
Rfam family: Bacterial small subunit ribosomal RNA
Source: RNAcentral
GAGUUUGAUCGUGGCUCAGGACGAACGCUGGCGGCGUGCCUAACACAUGCAAGUCGAACGGAGAACUCGAAAAGCUUGCUUUGAGAGUUCUUAGUGGCGGACGGGUGAGUAACGCGUGGGCAACCUCCCCCUUAAACCGGGACAACCCUUGGAAACGAGGGCUAAUACCGGAUACGCUUUUCUGAGGACAUCCUCGGGAAAGGAAAGGCGGCCUCUGAAGAUGCUGCCGAUAAGGGAUGGACCCGCGUUUGAUUAGCUGGUUGGUGGGGUAAAGGCCUACCAAGGCGACGAUCAGUAGCCGGCCUGAGAGGGUGAACGGCCACACUGGGACUGAGACACGGCCCAGACUCCUACGGAGGCAGCAGUGGGGAAUCUUCCGCAAUGGACGAAAGUCUGACGGAGCAACGCCGCGUGUAUGACGAGGG